This 353-nucleotide RNase P RNA is filed under the name Neisseriales bacterium. RNAcentral describes it as "RNase P RNA component class A". It matches the Rfam family "Bacterial RNase P class A". Rfam says of the family: Ribonuclease P (RNase P) is a ubiquitous endoribonuclease, found in archaea, bacteria and eukarya as well as chloroplasts and mitochondria. Its best characterised activity is the generation of mature 5'-ends of tRNAs by cleaving the 5'-leader elements of precursor-tRNAs. Lineage: Bacteria; Pseudomonadati; Pseudomonadota; Betaproteobacteria; Neisseriales. The record is from RNAcentral.
GAAGUCAGUUAGGCAGCCGCUGUUUGAUUGUUAAUCAACAGAGGAAAGUCCGGGCUCCGCAGAGCAAGAUGCUGGCUAACGGCCAGACGCCGUGAGGCGAUGGAAAGUGGCACAGAAAGCGAUACCGCCGAUGACCAGUGAUGGUACAGGUAAGGGUGAAAAGGUGUGGUAAGAGCACACCGCGGGUGCGGUGACGCAUCCGGCAGGCUAAACCCCAUCUGGAGCAAGACCAAACAGAAAACUUGAGCGUGGCUCGCGCUGUUUUCGGGUAGGUCGCUUGAGUAAACGGGUAACGGUUUACCUAGAGGAAUGGCUGCCCUAGACAGAACCCGGCUUAUCGACUGGCUUCUUAC